This 62-nucleotide microRNA precursor is filed under the name Salmo salar (Atlantic salmon). RNAcentral's name for it is "microRNA ssa-mir-8162 precursor". The record is from miRBase by way of RNAcentral. Lineage: Eukaryota; Metazoa; Chordata; Actinopteri; Salmoniformes; Salmonidae.
UUGUCUCAGACCUGUUUGUGCUGUAGUUGUUAUCAGGAUGUCACAACGGAUCUGGGAUCAGU